This is a long non-coding RNA of Sapajus apella (tufted capuchin), 5204 nucleotides long. RefSeq lists it as uncharacterized. The transcript has 2 exons. The record is from RefSeq and is a predicted model, not a curated record. Lineage: Eukaryota; Metazoa; Chordata; Mammalia; Primates; Cebidae.
GUUUCUCCAUGUUGGCUAGGCUGGUCUCGAACUCCUGACCUCAGGUUAUACACCCUCCUCGGCCUCCCAGCCCAGUUGGAUUUUUAAUUGCCAAGGUUUCCUCAUGACAGAUGAUGACCAUAGAGAAAGUAAAUGCUGCAGAACCAGGCUGGCACUUCAGCCCUUUAGAAAUGAGUGCUUUUGGCUUGGGAUGAGAGUGGUACCUUCUUUGCUGCAUAUCUGAGAGCAGCUCAGAAAGUUUGCUGCAUCAUCUUCAUAGAGUUCAGUGUAUAGGAACCACAGCAAGAUUACUAUCUCUUUCCUGAUCUCAAUCAAAGAGAUGACUUAGUUUUUGGUGUUAAUUCAUUCAUUUGUAAAGAUUCUUCAGAUUGGAGAUGCCCAACCUAGAUUUGGCUUUUUUGUUGUUGUUUUCUUUUAAACACAUGUUCCUUGUACCUAUCCAGUGGAAGAGAUGGGUUGCCUGUUGUUGCCCUGGCCCUGUGGGACUCUGCUGUUUGACUGGGCCUCUUGAAUUCCAUUAAAUGAAGCACAGACAGCAUGUGUCAUAAAGGCUGCUUGGGAAGGGUGAAGAGCAAAAUUAGUGUCUGUGGGUGGCCAUGUGUUCUCAUCACGUCGCCAGAGAACUGCAAUGUGCAAAAUCUGGCAGGAACCUGUUCCAAAGAAAAAUAAAACAGCCCCUUUUUUCCUGCUUUGAGUAAUAUUAAAGAACAUCGCUAACCCCCAUGUAGAAGAAAUGGAACUAUUAGGAAAUUCUUAUGAUUAUGUGUGUGUGUGUUUAAUAAUCUGUGUAUUUAGUCUUUAAAACUGAGGUUAGAAUAGAAGGGAUGAAAAGGGACUAGUCAUGAAUAUUGUGGGGUAUUCUGUUGCUGAUGUUGUAUACAUAGUAAGUAUUCUAUUAGAGUACAAAUGUCUGAGGAUUAGAGGAAUUUGUCAGAGCUAACAAUUCAGGGGAAAUCUAUUUUCUUUAACUUUUUCUGUCCUUCUUUGAAAUGAUUUUAUAAGAAAAGCCAUUUUUAUCUCAGUAAAACCAGUAUCAAAGGAAAUGUUUGCGUUUUUCUUAUGUAUGAUUUGCCCGGUACCCUCAGGAACAAAGCAAAGCUGACAUUUACACUUAUAUUUGAAUCAUAAGAUCUUCCUUUUAUAGUUUCCUUGAGAAGGUCUUGCAUAUUUGUUAAUUGCUUCCCAUAGUGUAGAAGAAUGUUUCUUAAAGGAGGGUUGUGAUGGAUGUAGUUUGCAAAGUGGGGACAUAUGUUACUUUUAUAAUUAAGGGAAAGUUAACUUUUUAAAUAGUAGUAAUGUUUACUCCUUUUUUCUUUUAAAAAAAAUUUUUUAAAUAAAAAUAGAGAUCUCACAGUGUUGCUUAAGCGAUCCUCCUGCCUUGGCCUCCCAAAGUGAAUGUUUACUUCUUAAGGACUGCAGAAAUAUUCCUAAGCUAAACCCAAAAUUUCUAAAUUUGGGGUUCUUUACCUAUUUCAAGUAGCCUCUCUUUGUUUCACAGAUUAUCUUUUUAUUGUGGUAAAAAACAUAUAACAUAGAAUAUGUCAUCUUGACUUAGAAUAUAUCAUCGUAGAAUAUAUCAUCUGUACAUUUUUAAGUGUAUAGUACAGUAGUGUUAACUAUAUUCAAGUUUGUAUGACAGAUCUCUAGAACAUUUUCACCUUCCAAAACUGAAAUUCUUUACCAAUUAAAUAACAACUCACUCCCCUCCCCAGCCCCCAGCCUCUGGCAACCACUAUUCUCCUUUCUGUUUCUAGGACUUUGACUAGUCACAUUGAGAUAGCUGGUGUAAGCGGAACAAAUCAUGUGGUAUUUCUUUUUGUGACUGACGUUUCACUUAGUGCAGUAUCCUCAAGAUUCAGCCAAGUUAGAGCAUAUGACAAGGUUUCCUUCUUUUUUUUUUUUUUUAAGGCUGAAUAAUCCCAUUGUAUAUAUGUACCACAAGUAUUAAGGUUAAUUCCUUAUAUGUAAACACACAAGGAAAAGUUAACACAAGAGCUUCCAUAUACAAGCAACUCACUGUUGGUUGUGUAGCAGUUUUCAGUGGGGAUGGCAUAUCCAUGGUGCUUUCAGUGACUGUGACUUUCCUAGAGAAUGGAAGAGUAUGAAGUUAGUCCUGAGAGGUGGCUGAAGCACACUAGUGAGUGAAAUGAGCCAAGAGUUGUUCUUCUUGACCAACAUUAAGUCAGGGACCCUUUUAUUCUGUUUUGAUACCAAGUGGCAGCCUCAUGGCGGGUUUCUAACAGCAUGGCUUCAGGGUCGUGUGAUUGCGUCUGGUUGGCCAGGCAUACUUCCACCUGUCAGUAAAGCUCUCUGGUGGAAGAAGUUGGCAGUAGCCACUUGGUUGUCCUGUCUUGGGCGGUGGUCUUUAACUACUGCAGACAGAAUGACUGAAAGCUUGGUUAGCUCCCUGCUGCAAACAUGUUAGUGAUGGCCAGGAAAGCCCAACUUCAGCAGUUCAGCCACCCAGGGUUUCAGUUAUCUGUGAAAAUCAUGAGUCUUGAAAUAUAAUGCCUUCUAGUACCUCCACAAGCUGGUUGACUUUGGGAGGUGGAGACGGCUCUAGUAUUUCCUGGAGGCUCUUUCUGAAUCAAGUAACUUCAAACUACACUACUCCCUUAUAAAUGAAAAAAUAUUUUAAGACUAAACGUGUUAAAACUAUGAGCAAGCUUGGUAGCUAGAUGGCCUUUACAUUAUCCUUGCUGCCUAGUUCUUUUAUGUCAGGAAAGUAACACGGGAAAUAUGUGUACUGAGUGGAUGGCUCUGUCCACUCAGAAGGAAAUUGCCCUUGUAAGACAAAUCCUGUCCUUCUGUGUAGUCAACGAGUCAAGACUCCACUGCAUCAUGAUUAUAUCCUAUGAGCCUGACACUUGCCUUAAUUGCUCACCAACAGUCAUUGUGACCCUAAAAGGAAAGAAUUUCCUCAGUGAUACUCAAGUUGGGAUUUGUAAAAUAGCAUCAGUACAGAUCUUUUUAGAGCCAUUCAAGAUUCAGUGGUGCCACAUUCUGAGGAUCUCCAAAAUGAAGCCUAAAUCAGAAGUUUAAGAAUUCCUCCUUCUUACCUUUUCUCCCUCCCCACCCCUACCACCUCACCCCCCAGCCCCCAAAUUGGAAAACCCUUGGCCAAAAAAACCAGCAAGAGCAGAGCAGAACUGGCCUUUACUGCUGGCAGUGGGGAAAGAGGCUUCCGUCAAGGAGACUGUUAGUAAGCACUUGAAACAUUUGGGAAUAUUUUUACACGUUGAUUAGGCUUUCAUGGGCUGGACUGGAAACCCCGUUGCUCACCAUUUUAUGUUUUUCCUGUAGGGAAGGUAUACUCCAAUUUCAAAUAACUGAUUUAUUUACUUUUGGACCAGAAAUUAUUUGUCUCAUUGAAGCAACUUAAAUCUAAGUUGCAACUUGAUGUGCACUAGUUGCUUUAUCAAAUGUCUAUAAGAAAUGUCUUUCUCUAUUUUUAAGCUGAACAAUUGCUUUGUUACCUUUUCCUAACAUUUUCUCCUUUUCACUCUGAAUGUAGUAAAGAUUGGGGCUGGGGAGUUCAUCUUGAGUCAAUGAUAAGGCAGAUAGAAUGAACUGUUUGGGAGAAAAUGGGCAGAUCUCUUUUCUUGGUCUACAUUUGUUUCAUAAAUAUGUCUUGGGGUUUUUCUUCCAUGUGGCUAAAGAGAAUCUCACAUUUGUGGAUGCAUAAACCCAGCUAGAUGACCAGGUUGUACCUUUCUUUUUUUCCCCCAGAGGAGCUUAUUAAACUUAUUAAAAUUCAAUUUUCAUCAUUUUCUUGCUUUUGCAAAGUACUUGGAUAAAUCAGUUUCAUUCCUGGAAACUUUAUGGUUGUGUAAUAACACUUGUACUGAGAGAACAUAUCUGUUAGUUUAUCAUGGUUUCAGGUCUUUGUGGUUUCAGGUUUUUUUCUCUACUCAAAAUAUAUUUUCAGUUGCAUUUUACAGCUGAAAGUUUUCUGAUCUGCUUUUGUAGGAUGUUUUAGUGGCUUAAGUUUGCUAAGCCCUCUGCCACAACUGAAAGAGUUUAAGGCCAUUUUUUUUAAAAAACACAAAGCAUAAAAAGGCACCAAAGUUGAGAGGGCCUCAAGAGUCAGUGGGGGUCCCUACUUCUCAUUUUACACAUAAGGAAACUGAAGCUCAAUAAGAGAGUUUGGGGUACCUCACUUAGUUGUGAGAAGAUGUGUAACGGAGGUUAGGUCUCCUGUCCUGACUUAGGGUACUCGUUAUAGCAACAGAUCCAAAAAGCAACUGCCUCUGUUGGUGUGAAACUUUGGCAGGAUGAGUAGGAUUUCUCUGCCCCACCCUCCAUCUAGCUCUGUGAUUUUUUUCAUGUAGCUGUGUUGCCAGUGAUAUCUCUUCAUUUCUCCUUAGAAUUCUUUUCACAAUCAGUUGCCUAUCCAGUAAAUUUCAAGGGACCAAUAUAAGGAAUAACUUAUUUAUCCUCCAGAGCACCUAACUCCAAUAUGGGCACUUUUGCCACAACAGGAGGUCCUUUCAAAAGUGUGGGCAGGGGGUGGUCACAGAGGCUGAUCUUAGUCUUUUAUCUGUCCCUAAUGUCAGUGACCUUGAACAAGUCCCCUCUGCAGUCUGGACUUUUAAUUUUUCCAUGUGAGAGAGGAGUCUAGCGUAGAUGGUUUCCACAAUUCUUUAUAUUAAUAGCUUAAAAUGUGUAACUAACAUGAAAACCUAAACUCUGCCUUCAGGUCGACCUCUAUUCCACUCUCCAGGUGGGAAAUGAUGCCACCCAGCAUGCUUCAGGGAGAACAGGUGCCUUGACCGUGUGUUGUUUGUUUCUCUGUGUGUUUAGCUUUCCAUCUCUUAUGAGGGAGGUGACAGAAUCCUAGAACAAAAAGGAACUAAAUGAGUUAGUAAUUCUUGCCAUCUGAGAGGGCGUCCAUUUUCAGUGGAUCUGUGGGAAUACAACAGGCUCUUGAAAAUCCUGUCAACUUAUUGCUAGCAUGAUCUGCUGAUUUCUCUUCCUCCUCUAUGGAUAAAAUUAUCACCUCUUUUUAUUUGAAACAGGUCUUAUUGAGGGCUGGCUUAUAAAGGAUUUUGUGGAUUUAGAAUUUGAUAUUAACAUAGUUUGGUAAAGUCAUUUCCUGACAUUUGAUUAGAUUUGUUUUGGGGUAGAGGGCAGGUGGUAGAUAGCAGGUAAAGGGAAAAAAAAAAAAAAGGAGGGAACUUUGUCCUGAAUAGCAGAAAGAAAAG